Molecule: ribosomal RNA, 502 nt
Filed under: Vermamoeba vermiformis
Lineage: Eukaryota; Tubulinea; Echinamoebida; Vermamoebidae
Description: SSU rRNA
Rfam family: Eukaryotic small subunit ribosomal RNA
Source: RNAcentral
UUACGAGGUCAGGACACUGUGAGGAUUGACAGAUUGAAAGCUCUUUCUUGAUCCAGUGGGUGGUGGUGCAUGGCCGUUCUUAGUUGGUGGAGUGAUUUGUCUGGUUAAUUCCGUUAACGAACGAGACCUUAACCUGCUAAAUAGUCACGCGAACCGGUCCGCAAGGGCUCAAAGUUCGCGGCUCGACUUCUUAGAGGGACUAUUCGCACCCGCCAGCGAAUGGAAGUUUGAGGCAAUAACAGGUCUGUGAUGCCCUUAGAUGUUCUCGGCCGCACGCGCGUUACACUGACGGAGUCAACGAGCGUUUUUCCUUGCCCGAUAGGGUUGGGUAACCUCCUGAAACUCCGUCGUGAUGGGGAUAGAUCAUUGCAAUUAUUGAUCUUGAACGAGGAAUUCCUAGUAGGCGCGAGUCAUCAACUCGCGCCGAUUACGUCCCUGCCCUUUGUACACACCGCCCGUCGCUCCUACCGAUUGAACAGUCCGGCGAGAACUCCGGAUGGUC